This 206-nucleotide ribosomal RNA is filed under the name uncultured bacterium. RNAcentral describes it as "partial 16S ribosomal RNA". It matches the Rfam family "Bacterial small subunit ribosomal RNA", at positions 1295 to 1500 of the family's 1533-position model. The record is from RNAcentral.
GGAUUGUAGUCUGCAACCCGACUACAUGAAGCUGGAAUCGCUAGUAACCGCGGAUCAGAAUGCCGCGGUGAAUACGUUCCCGGGUCUUGUACACACCGCCCGUCACACCAUGGGAGUCGGAAAUGCCCGAAGUCUGUGACCCAACCUUAGGGAGGGAGCAGCCGAAGGCAGGUCGGAUGACUGGGGUGAAGUCGUAACAAGGUAGC